CCUAUGGAUUGUAAACUUCUUUUCUCUGGGAAUAAAGAGUGGGAUUCAUCCUGCCUUGAAGGUACCAGAGGAAUAAGCACCGGCUAACUCCGUGC
This 95-nucleotide ribosomal RNA is filed under the name uncultured bacterium. RNAcentral's name for it is "partial 16S ribosomal RNA". The record is from RNAcentral.